GUAGGGAAUUUUCCACAAUGGACGAAAGUCUGAUGGAGCAACGCCGCGUGAACGAUGAAGGUCUUCGGAUUGUAAAGUUCUGUUGUCAGGGACGAAUAAGUACCGUUCGAACAGGGCGGUACCUUGACGGUACCUGACGAGAAAGCCACGGCUAACUACGUGCCAGCAGCCGCGGUAAUACGUAGGUGGCAAGCGUUGUCCGGAAUUAUUGGGCGUAAAGCGCGCGCAGGCGGCUAUGUAAGUCUGGUGUUAAAGCCCGGGGCUCAACCCCGGUUCGCAUCGGAAACUGUGUAGCUUGAGUGCAGAAGAGGAAAGCGGUAUUCCACGUGUAGCGGUGAAAUGCGUAGAGAUGUGGAGGAACACCAGUGGCGAAGGCGGCUUUCUGGUCUGUAACUGACGCUGAGGCGCGAAAGCGUGGGGAGCAAACAGGAUUAGAUACCCUAGUAGUCC
This 450-nucleotide ribosomal RNA is filed under the name uncultured bacterium. Its description in RNAcentral is "bacterial SSU rRNA". It matches the Rfam family "Bacterial small subunit ribosomal RNA", at positions 354 to 796 of the family's 1533-position model. The record is from RNAcentral.